CCAGACUCCUACGGGAGGCAGCAGUGGGGAAUAUUGCACAAUGGGGGAAACCCUGAUGCAGCAACGCCGCGUGGGUGAAGGAGCGUUUCGGCGCGUAAAGCCCUGUCAGCGGGGAAGAAGAAAGACGGUACCCGACCAAGAAGCCCCGGCUAACUACGUGCCAGCAGCCGCGGUAAUACGUAGGGGGCAAGCGUUAUCCGGAAUUACUGGGUGUAAAGGGAGCGUAGACGGCAAUGCAAGUCCGGAGUGGAAUGCGGCAGCUCAACUGCCGAACUGCUCUGGAAACUGUAUGGCUUGAGUGCAGGAGGGGUAAGCGGAAUUCCUGGUGUAGCGGUGAAAUGCGUAGAUAUCAGGAGGAACACCGGUGGCGAAGGCGGCUUACUGGACUGUAACUGACGUUGAGGCUCGGAAGCGUGGGGAGCAAACAGGAUUAGAUGCCCGAGUACA
RNAcentral lists this ribosomal RNA (447 nucleotides) under uncultured bacterium. Its description in RNAcentral is "bacterial SSU rRNA". It matches the Rfam family "Bacterial small subunit ribosomal RNA", at positions 331 to 797 of the family's 1533-position model. The record is from RNAcentral.